AAGGAAUAGAAGAGGUGAAGGUAAUUGAACAAAACAGUAGCUACAGCCGAUGCCGAAUUGCCGAUAGCUCCGAUCUCUUGCUUCUCAAGACGGAAACUACUGGACUGAGAGAGAGAGAAGAUUAGGAGAAGAUAAAGGGAAGAUGUUCAGGAGAAGAUUUUUGUCGUUUCCGCUGGUAAUUGGCGCAGUUAUAAUUGGCGUUGUAUCUGGGAAAGCUAUAUUUGCACAACCACUUGAUGAAUAUUGGAAGAAGAAACUUCAGGAGGAACCAGCUGCAAAAGAAAAUGAUUUAAGCACCUCAUAGAACGAUCAGACGCAUAUCUGAGCCUAAUAUAAUGCUAGUAUUUUUCUGUUGGUAGUUGCUCUUUAGAAAUGCUUUCUGCAGACACAUCCUCAUCCAAAUAGUUUACGCCAUGAUGAUUUGGAUAUUUCAUCCUUCAGUGGCUUGUAUGAGACUGUGCAUCAAAAUUAUUUCUGGUUUUUUUCUUGUUGUUGUUGAAAAUAGACACGCAAAAGCAACCACUGUGGCAUUAUGGUUCAGGAGAAAUAUUAUAUGUCAAUUAGAAUAAUAUUGUGCCUAUGUUACCUUA
Molecule: long non-coding RNA, 590 nt
Organism: Solanum lycopersicum (tomato)
Lineage: Eukaryota; Viridiplantae; Streptophyta; Magnoliopsida; Solanales; Solanaceae
Source: RefSeq, a predicted model, not a curated record